GCCAGGCGAGGUGGUGCAUGCCUGUAAUCCCAGUGACUUGGGAGGCUGAGGCAGGAGGAUCACAAGUUCAAAGCCAACCUCAGCAACUUAGUGAGGCUUUAAGCAAUUUAAUGAGACCCUGUCUCAA
RNAcentral lists this small RNA (127 nucleotides) under Marmota monax (woodchuck). The record is from RNAcentral. Lineage: Eukaryota; Metazoa; Chordata; Mammalia; Rodentia; Sciuridae.